This 397-nucleotide ribosomal RNA is filed under the name uncultured archaeon. RNAcentral describes it as "bacterial SSU rRNA". It matches the Rfam family "Archaeal small subunit ribosomal RNA", at positions 25 to 426 of the family's 1478-position model. The record is from RNAcentral.
GAUACUGCUAUCCUGAGUCGACUAAGACAUGCGAGUCGAGAGUCUUCGGGACUCGGCGAACUGCUCAGUAAUAUGUAGUUAACUUACCCUGCACUCAGGGAUAAUUGCGGGAAACUGCAGCUAAUACCUGAUGGGUAUUCUGUUCUGGAAUGAUAGAAUAUCGAAAGGUAACGGUACAGGAUAGGACUACAUCUUAUCAGCCUGUUGGGGGUGUAAUGGACCCCCAAAGCUAUAACGGGUACGGGCCAUGAGAGUGGAAGCCCGGAGAUGGAUUCUGAGACAUAAAUCCAGGUCCUACGGGACGCAGCAGUUACGAAAACUUCGCAAUGCUCAAACGAGUGACGAGGGAACUCGGAGUGUUCAUGCUCUGCAUNGAACUUUUGGUCUUACUUGGCAA